Salvelinus sp. IW2-2015 is the source of this 1519-nucleotide long non-coding RNA. RefSeq lists it as uncharacterized. Lineage: Eukaryota; Metazoa; Chordata; Actinopteri; Salmoniformes; Salmonidae. The record is from RefSeq and is a predicted model, not a curated record.
GUGAAAAUGAUUUGCGCCCUGGGGGCAGGGACCUUUUACUGCUGACCAAUCAGUUCCAUCUUCCCAAACCACAACAAACUAACUAUUGGCUGGAUUGUUCCAUCAAUCAAAUCUCAAGAAGUAGCUCCCGAUGUGCAAGAGAGGACGAGGUGGUGAGGGAGUAAGAUCACUACAAAGCAGCAUUCUGCCGGACCAACACAGGACACUAGAGACAGUCAAUGCUUAUGAACUAGAUAUUGUAUUUAAAUUGCCCAUUUAUAUCAAAGACACUAACAAAAAUGGUUGGAUUGUUCAGCAACGCGGCAGCGAAUGAUAACACGGCUUUGAUAGUGAAACGUACAUCAUGUUGAAGCACAUCACUAACAUCCAGACUGAUCUAAAGAACUUGGGAACCUCCCAGCAGCCACCAGGAAAAUCAUCUUGUACUUGGAGUUUAUUCACAAGGUUUGUCAGAUGAUUUCCAGGAGCCUGGUGGAGAUGGCCAUAAUCCAAGACAGGACAUUUCCCAGCAUCCAGGUUGAGGCCUGCUACCAGCAGGAACAUGGAGUACUCCCAUGUCAUUUUACAUGAACCCCUUUUCAAACCUUGUUCAAGGGGCUUGGACAGAUGGCUCACCGCUUUGCAUCAUCACAGGUUGCUACUGGCAACCUACCUGCAAUAACCAAGAUUCUAUGAAACCUGUGCAGUCCUGGUCUGACGUUUCAACAGAUGCCCGGGGUGACUGAGUGUGGGACGUACCAUUUUAGAAAGAAGGGUUGCAUCGAUGUGUCGUACUAUUGGCCUUCCUUAGGGAUGGAGAAAGAAGAUGUCAACACACGUGUCAACAACAUGACAGACUUGGUGUCUUUUUGUCCUUUUGAGUUUAAUCGUCUUAAUGGUGCCUUCUGACAAGGAGAGACUUAGCCCAGUUAGCACCUGAGCCAGACUUCCUGACAGACAUGCUACUAUCCUCAAACCCAUCUGUCAGAUGGCACCAUUACAAUGAAACUAUACUGCUAGAGAAAUUCAAUGGCAGUAAUUUCAUUUACUGUUGUAAAUUGAGUGAAUUGAUACGUAAGAAAAGGUUCAAUGAAAAUGCAUGACGUUAUUGUGAUAAUAGCGGCAGAGGUUAGUUUUGACUUGAAGUGACGUGACCAGGGAAAACUCUGGGCCCUUUGUCAUAGCGUAAAACUGCAUCCUGGAGUUGUUUUAUUUGGUCAGGUUACAUGGUCAGGGGAAUCGUGUCCCUAUGAUUACAGAGAUGCCACAGUGUUAAAUAAGGUAAUGUACUUUACUCUUGGAUGACAGAGCUUCUCUGUUUUUAAUGCCAUUUAAACCACACUCAUAGUAUUCAUUGAGACAUGUCCUCUGCCUAAUCCGAAAACUGAUCUGCUCCGUUCUGCUUGCCUGUGUAACAGUUGGCCAUCCACACCGCAGCCAUUACAAGCAUUUAGCUAUUAUUCCCUGCGGAAAAUGUGACUUUCAGUCCUCAUCCAAUAGCAUUAAAAAUCAUUGUAUCUGCUUUGAUAUGGCUGAUUAA